This 337-nucleotide unclassified non-coding RNA is filed under the name soil metagenome. RNAcentral's name for it is "partial contains 5.8S ribosomal RNA, internal transcribed spacer 2, and large subunit ribosomal RNA". The stretch from base 1 to 120 matches the Rfam family "5.8S ribosomal RNA", at positions 35 to 154 of the family's 154-position model. The record is from RNAcentral.
GAUGAAGAACGUAGCGAAAUGCGAUAAGUAGUGUGAAUUGCAGAAUUCAGUGAAUCAUCGAAUCUUUGAACGCACAUUGCGCCCCUUGGUAUUCCAUGGGGCAUGCCUGUUCGAGCGUCAUUUGUACCUUCAAGCUCUGCUUGGUGUUGGGUGUUUGUCUCGCCUCUGCGUGUAGACUCGCCUCAAAACAAUUGGCAGCCGGCGUAUUGAUUUCGGAGCGCAGUACAUCUCGCGCCUUGCACUCAUAACGACGACGUCCAAAAGUACAUUUUUACACUCUUGACCUCGGAUCAGGUAGGGAUACCCGCUGAACUUAAGCAUAUCAAUAAGCGGAGGA